This 74-nucleotide transfer RNA is filed under the name Lodderomyces parapsilosis. RNAcentral's name for it is "Candida parapsilosis tRNA-Lys". It matches the Rfam family "tRNA". From Rfam's summary of the family: Transfer RNA (tRNA) molecules are approximately 80 nucleotides in length. Their secondary structure includes four short double-helical elements and three loops (D, anti-codon, and T loops). Further hydrogen bonds mediate the characteristic L-shaped molecular structure. tRNAs have two regions of fundamental functional importance: the anti-codon, which is responsible for specific mRNA codon recognition, and the 3' end, to which the tRNAs corresponding amino acid is attached (by aminoacyl-tRNA synthetases). tRNAs cope with the degeneracy of the genetic code in two manners: having more than one tRNA (with a specific anti-codon) for a particular amino acid; and 'wobble' base-pairing, i.e. permitting non-standard base-pairing at the 3rd anti-codon position. RNAcentral also lists the same sequence under 2 other names. Lineage: Eukaryota; Fungi; Ascomycota; Pichiomycetes; Serinales; Debaryomycetaceae. The record is from RNAcentral.
GCCUGGCUAGCUCAAUCGGCUAGAGCAUUCGACUCUUAAUCGAAAGGUUGCGGGUUCGAGUCCCGCGUUGGGCU